RNAcentral lists this ribosomal RNA (123 nucleotides) under Prolemur simus (greater bamboo lemur). Lineage: Eukaryota; Metazoa; Chordata; Mammalia; Primates; Lemuridae. The record is from RNAcentral.
GACAACAGCCAUACCACCCUGAACGCUCCCGAUCUCGUCUGAUCUUGGAAGCUAAGCAGGGUUGGGCACAGUUAGUACUUGGAUGGGAGAAGACCCAGAGGAACAACAAGUUAGCAAUAGACA